Long non-coding RNA from Mauremys mutica (yellowpond turtle), 884 nucleotides. RefSeq lists it as uncharacterized. The transcript has 3 exons. NCBI's taxonomy places the organism in Eukaryota, Metazoa, Chordata, Testudines, Geoemydidae. The record is from RefSeq and is a predicted model, not a curated record.
UGAAGGUUCCAUGGCAGUUGGGGGGUGGCUGAGGGGCUGUCAGUGGAAGGCUGUUGAAUCAAAGGAGCUGUGGAAGUUAUUGAUUUACUGAAUCAGUUCCUUUGGAUUGAUCAGACAUGGAAGGUGGGGUGAGAACGGGGCAGCUCAGCUGCGUUAGGCGGGUGGCCGCAGGAAGAAGGUGGGUGAGAAGUUCUUAGAGCUUUGCUCUGCAAGUGGACACCUCUUUCCCCUCUAAGUUGACCCAGCUGACGGGGGCCCCGCACGGUCCAGAAGAGGAAAUGUUGGACGAGGGGCAGGAGCAGGGAUUCUCCAUCUGGCGGCUUGUUGGAGAAUCCCCCAUACCCUCCCCACAAGGUGGCCCUGGUGGAGGAGCACAUGCAGUGCUGUAGGACAGCCCAUCCCCAGCACUGGACACAAUGGAGUCCUGGCUCAUGAUUCCAAGGCACUAUGCUAUAAGAGCCUGCUACAGCCUCGCAGCUAGCGGAGUGAUGCCUUUUGCGCUAUGCUUUGGAUGCAGAAGGUCCCGAAUAUGAUCUCCGCUCAUGGCUUUGGUGUCGGUGUGCAUGGAGCCGUGGAGGGACGGAACUCGGGAGUCUACCGAUUGGGAAGAAGGGGUAAGGGAAGGUGAGAGGGACGAGAGGUUUUGCUUUUGCUUUGCAAAACACUUGGUAAGUCCAGGGCCAGCUGACCCAUGUGAGGGGACCCUGGGCUUGAGUAGCUACACUGUAUGUUAACCAGGCCUGCCAAUGGGGGGUAAUUGCCCCGGGGCUCGGGGGAUUUAAAAGGGCCUAGGGGCCCUUGGCUGCAGGAGCUCUGGGCCCUUUAAAAUCACCCGGGCGGGCUGCAGGGCUCCUGGGCACGCAGGGUCGGCACUGAGUUUCCAG